GCAACAAGGCUAUUUAUACCCGUACACGCGACCGCCCCGGAUACUCGUGACCCUAGACCCCUCCCCGGGUGCAUGCAGGCACUGCCCAUUUUAUCCCACAUGAGUUACCUCUGGUUUUGGCUUUGCAGUCCUGUCCUGCUCUGAGGUUUGCUCUAAAUUACAUAAGAUCACUACUUUUUCUACAGAAAUCAAAAGGCAAAUCAGAUACUUACUUACAAUUUUUUCCUGUCAGGUUAACUGUUGAAAUAAGAAAGGUGCUUGCUUUCUGCUCUGUGCCUGGGUCCUCUAAUACCAACGUAUUGUCUCUGCAUAAACAUGCUUAUGAGUUUUGA
This 332-nucleotide long non-coding RNA is filed under the name Numida meleagris (helmeted guineafowl). RNAcentral describes it as "lncRNA (ENSNMEG00000018657.1)". The record is from RNAcentral. Lineage: Eukaryota; Metazoa; Chordata; Aves; Galliformes; Numididae.